This 411-nucleotide ribosomal RNA is filed under the name uncultured bacterium. RNAcentral's name for it is "bacterial SSU rRNA". It matches the Rfam family "Bacterial small subunit ribosomal RNA", at positions 28 to 444 of the family's 1533-position model. The record is from RNAcentral.
GAUGAACGCUAGCGGCAGGCCUAACACAUGCAAGUCGAGGGGCAGCACGUCUUCGAAUGGUGGCGACCGGCGCACGGGUGCGUAACGCGUAUGCAACCUACCUCUUACAGUGGGAUAGCCCAGAGAAAUUUGGAUUAAUACCGCAUAGUAUACAGAUUCAGCAUUGGGACUGUAUUAAACAUUUAUGGGUAAGAGAUGGGCAUGCGUUCUAUUAGUUAGUUGGAGUGGUAACGGCACCCCAAGACAGCGAUAGAUAGGGCCCUGAGAGGGGGAUCCCCACACUGGUACUGAGACACGGACCAGACUCCUACGGGAGCAGCAGUGAGGAAUAUUGGACAAUGGGCGAGAGCCUGAUCCAGCCAUGCCGCGUGCAGGAGACGGCCCUAUGGUUGUAAACUGCUUUUGUACGGG